RNAcentral lists this non-coding RNA (30 nucleotides) under Mus musculus (house mouse). The record is from RNAcentral. Lineage: Eukaryota; Metazoa; Chordata; Mammalia; Rodentia; Muridae. RNAcentral also lists the same sequence under 1 other name.
UCUUAAUGUAGUACUGGAAGUUCAUGUAUU